This is a long non-coding RNA of Felis catus (domestic cat), 1953 nucleotides long. RefSeq lists it as uncharacterized. Lineage: Eukaryota; Metazoa; Chordata; Mammalia; Carnivora; Felidae. The record is from RefSeq and is a predicted model, not a curated record. The transcript is spliced from 3 exons.
UUUUGAACCGAGUCACCCCAGUUCACAGUGCCCGCGCCUGGGAAGUGACCAGGGGGAGUGAAGUAGGCAUGUUGAUUACAGAGCAGCCAGUGUAGAGUAAGAUAGACUCCGGGCUUCCAGGCUCUUCCGGUUCGCAGUCUCUGAUUUGUGACUCCGUUGGAGCAGAUCUUAAUUUUACCUGCAGAUGGUCUACUUAAUAUCUGUCCCACGAGUCUCAAAGUUUUUGCCUUGAUGGAAUCUGAUUAAUAUAGUCAAAUGGCCAUCGCUAGGCUAGUUGAGCCUGUAUAAAUUGUUAAAUAUAAACUGAUAAACAGGGGCUCAUUUUUCCCAACUGGCCCUACUGCUGUGGCAAGAGAAGGGGAACUGCCAGAUUCCGAGCCUGUGCUCUGAAAUCAAUCUUUGAAUUGAAGCGGUACCUCUGCUUCCUAAACGGUGGAACUGUAGCUGUCUGUCUGUGCUUCUCUUCACGUACCUCAGACUGGGCAUCUGGCAGUGACAGGAUGGCCAGAUACCUCUUCUACUUCCAGCCUCAUGCCUGCAUUCCUGGCAGGAAGAAGAAGGGGACAGAAUGAAGCCUACGUGUAUCAGGAAAGCAACCAUUUCCCAGAAAUCUCUGGCAGACUUUUCGAUUAUUUUUCAUCGGCUCUGAAUUCCGUACUUCCCUUUAGAUGUAAGGAAUUUUGGGAAGGUGGCACAUGGUGUCCCUGAAAAGAACGAUUUUUCUUUUAGUAAAGGAUGGGCAGUGACUGGGUAUCCGGCAGUGUCCAUCCAGCAGAGGUUUUUGUUUUGUUUUGUUUUUGCAAAAAUACAACCGGCCAUCUUAAGGGCAUCCCAGGCCAAGAUGCAGGCACCCCUUGAAUUCCUGGGAUUGUGCCAGAACUGGCCGGUGAGGAGCUUGUAUUCUGUAACUUAAGUUUGAAUGGACAAUGGAACAUGCACCUGCGCAGAGGAGAUAUGUGAAAAAGCAUGCUUUCACGUUGACCUGUAGUUGGUGAGCAGUGGGCGGAGCGCCGUUAGCGCGCUCUACACGCCAUACCCGGGACCUGAGUUGGGCUGGGUGUGGUGGUGAUGACGGUGAUGGUGAGGGCAGCCACAGCAGCAGCAGCAGUGGCAGCAGUAGUCACAGCCCUGGAGAGAGGAGGGACCCCAGUGUCAGGAUCCAUGGCAGGAGGCCAGUUUGCCAGUGUGUCUCUGGAGCCCGUCCCUGGGGCACUGGCACAGAUCUUAACUCUUUGGCCAGGAACUCUUAGAGCUCAGGUGGCAAAACUUUGUCAGCAAAAUUAUUACAGAAUGAAAACGUACACAUGGGCAUUUCAACAAAACCUGUUAAGGAGGAAUUAGAAUUCUUCAUAGUUUAAAACCUCUGUUUUUGCUAACUGCUGCAGCACCGUAAAACAAAUAUCCAUAAACUUAGAAACAGAAAUUAAAUGUAACGAUCACACUUCAUGAAAUAGAACGCUAUUUUCCUAUGAAGCAUCAGAUGAAACCGUUUUAAUGAAGAUAAUUUUGAAAUUAGUUUUCCUUUGUAAUUGAAUAUACAGUGAUAGAAUGCAUAAACAAGUAUUUGAAUUAUAUAUAAAUCAUGAAGUCCAUUUCUUGUAUAACCUCCACAAAUUACAGGAAAUGUAAGAGGAAAUGUUAAAAUGCCAUGGUAUAAAUUUACAUUUAAAAUUAAAUUUAGACUGACAUGAAAAUGAUCUGUAUGAAGACAAGUUUUUUCAAAAAAAAUUGUUCUGCAAGAAUCAUCAGCUUUAGAUGUACUAAUAUUUGUAUAUAUAUUUCUAAUAUUUAUAUUUUAAUAUAAUUAAUUGGAAAUUUAUCCCAAUGUUUUCAUAGCCUAUAAAAUACUUUUUUAUGUAAAGUUUAUUUAUUUAUUUUGAGAGAGAAAGAGAGAGAGUGAGAGUGGGGGAGAGGCUGAGAGAGAGAGAGAGAGAGAGAGAGAGAGAACUUCAA